AUUGAACGCUGGCGGCAGGCCUAACACAUGCAAGUCGAGCGGAUGAAGGGAGCUUGCUCCUGGAUUCAGCGGCGGACGGGUGAGUAAUGCCUAGGAAUCUGCCUGGUAGUGGGGGAUAACGUCCGGAAACGGGCGCUAAUACCGCAUACGUCCUGAGGGAGAAAGUGGGGGAUCUUCGGACCUCACGCUAUCAGAUGAGCCUAGGUCGGAUUAGCUAGUUGGUGGGGUAAAGGCCUACCAAGGCGACGAUCCGUAACUGGUCUGAGAGGAUGAUCAGUCACACUGGAACUGAGACACGGUCCAGACUCCUACGGGAGGCAGCAGUGGGGAAUAUUGGACAAUGGGCGAAAGCCUGAUCCAGCCAUGCCGCGUGCGUGAAGAAGGUCUUCGGGUUGUAAAGCACUUUAAGUUGGGAGGAAGGGCAGUAAGUUAAUACCUUGCUGUUUUGACGUUACCAACAGAAUAAGCACCGGCUAACUUCGUG
Molecule: ribosomal RNA, 484 nt
Filed under: uncultured bacterium
Lineage: Bacteria
Description: partial 16S ribosomal RNA
Rfam family: Bacterial small subunit ribosomal RNA
Source: RNAcentral